This is an RNA transcript of Helianthus annuus (common sunflower), 2263 nucleotides long. RefSeq lists it as uncharacterized. The transcript is spliced from 8 exons. The record is from RefSeq and is a predicted model, not a curated record. NCBI's taxonomy places the organism in Eukaryota, Viridiplantae, Streptophyta, Magnoliopsida, Asterales, Asteraceae.
UUCAAAAUUGAAUCCAUAUCUCUCUAAAAUCCAGAACAACAGAUUUCGUAUCUCUCUGUUUUCUUCAAUCCCAUAUCACAAACCCUAACCCAAUCCCACUUCACAAACAACUUAUUAAUUUACAAUCAACAGGCCUCUAUCUUCUUCAAUCCCAUAUCACAAACCCUAGCCGCUGCAACUGCUCAUAACAACAAUGGCGGAUAAUACAGAGCAUGAUAACAUCGAUGACUCGGUUGUAGUAGUUGAGAAACAAGUGAAGCUGGAAGUUACAAGCGUCUGCUCUGAAGGUCGAGAAGAAUCUGAUGCAGGUUUAAAGUUUUUAAGAGAAAUUCAGAUAAGAACUGAAGAGGCUGUAUGCACUACAAAUCAUCCAUCGGAGAGAAGAAAUUCAACCGGAGAUCUGUUCAUACUAUCAUCAAAUUCACAUCAUAUUUGCAUCAAUUUUCAUUAGAUCUGUAUCAGAUCAUGGAGAUGGAGCGUGUGACGGAGUUUCCGAUGAGUAACGUUGAUAUCGGACCGAGAAAACGGCAGCGUAUUGGCUGGGAUGUUGUUCAUCCGGUUGCGAAGUCGGAAGCUGGGAAAAAACUUCCAUUCAUCCUUAUUGUGAACCUGCAGGGGAUUCACCAAGUUCAGCCGUACUGAUUAUUUGCAGUGGAAAUCUGAAAAUCGUAUCGUCUCUGAUGGUGUUAACGCCAAGAUGAAGCAACAGCCAUCUAGAUGAAACAGAAACCGAAAGAAACCGAGCAGUUGCAGAGGUUAAAGAAGCUAAAGAGUUGGCUAAUGUAGGAUUAUCGCCUCAAAAAGCCGAACAAAUGUUUUCAGAGCUCAAGAGUUUCUAUCAAAUUCGAAAAAAAAGAUCAAAUCAAGAGAUGAAGAGAUCAAUGAAUUGAGCAAGCGGCUUGAAUCCGCAAAGCUGUUCGAGGCUAAGUUAGCUGAUAGGGAUGCUUCUUUAGAGCAAUUCAAGAAGCAGAUUCGAGAACUCGAAAAUGAACCGGAGAAAACGAAUAAAUCGGAAUCACAUAUGUUGGAAUCAUUUUAAUUUUGUGUUUCCCUCUUCUCUAUUAACUACUUUUUGUCUAUUAUUUUGUUUUCUAUAUGUUUACUCCUUACUCUAAGUCCAUUUUUGUGUUACAGUCGGAAGGUGGGAAAAAACUUCCAUUCAUCCUUAUUGUGAACCUCCAGGGGAUUCACCAAGUUCAGCCGUACUGAUUAUUUGCAGUGGAAAUCUGAAAAUCGUAUCGUCUCUGAUGGUGUUAACGCCAAGACAGAUGAAGCAACAGCCAUCUAGAUGAAAUAGAAACCGAAAGAAACCGAGCAGUUGCAGAGGUUAAAGAAGCUAAAGAGUUGGCUAAUGCAGGAUUAUCGCCUCAAAAAGCCAAACAAAUGUUUUCAGAGCUCAAGAGUUUACAAGAGUUUCUAUCAAAUUCGAAAAAAGAGAUCAAAUCAAGAGAUGAAGAGAUCAAUGAAUUGAGCCAGCGACUUGAAUCCGCAAAGUUGUUCGAGGCUAAGUUAGUUGAUAGGGAUGCUUCUUUAGAGCAGUUCAAGAAGCAGAUUCGAGAACUCGAAAAUGAAUCGUAGAAAACGAAUAAAUCGGAAUCACAUAUGCUGGAAUCAUUGAUGCUGCAAACCCGACAAUUCGAGGAAACUAAAAUGGACUUAGAAGAAUCAAAGCUUGAUGUCGUGACCCUGCAAGAAAAGCUCAAUAUCCUUCAAAACCGUGGUAAAAACGGGUUCAAUCAAACGAGUAAUCUGGAUUCAUCUUCGAAUGUAGCAGCCACUUACGCUUUAAUAAUUAAUUUGAAUAUUAUAGUGCUUUGAAGAAUGUGCUCCUCCCAAUGACAAAGAUUCAACAUCUGCUACUCCAAAGGUCUGCCAAAGCCAAAGUCUGCCAAAAGUGAACAUCUGCUUGAAGAUAAAAUCUGCUAAUCCAAAGGUCUACCAAAGUGAUCCUCUACUGAUGAAGACAAAUUCUGAAGAAGCAAAAGUCUACUAUGGCUCAACAGAUGUUAAAGACCAACAGAUGAUAUUUAACAGAUGCUGCUCAACAGAGGUUAACAAUGUAACAGUGCCUAGGCUAAUACCAGAUGUUAGGAGUUUAUUAGGUUGUUUGAUCGUAGUUAAUGUUUGUUGAAAGUCAAGUUGUAUUGCAUGUAUCAAAGUUUAAUAAGCACAUUUCCAACACAUAUGAACAUUCGGGAAAGUAAUUCCCUUCUAAAAAAUAUAUAGUGAUUCGUUGUUUAAUGUAUUAUGCAUGGUUUUCUAA